AGAAGGUUCAUGAAUGGGUUUAGAUGGUUCAGAAAUGAGUACAGAGGGUUCUGAGAUGGUUUUAGAAGGUUCUGGUACAGACUAAGUCUUUUCAGAGUCAGUUGUGGCUUGAAGGUCUUCAUGGUUUGGGGAGGUUGGGUCAGGGAUAUCUGAACCAGAUUAUUCAGAGUUAGAUGUUAGGUCAUAGUAGGGAGGGGAAUUGUGGUUAGAGGAGAG
RNAcentral lists this long non-coding RNA (216 nucleotides) under Lathyrus oleraceus (garden pea). RNAcentral describes it as "Pisum sativum (pea) long non-coding RNA (PSAT_LNC012754)". The record is from RNAcentral. Lineage: Eukaryota; Viridiplantae; Streptophyta; Magnoliopsida; Fabales; Fabaceae.